Triticum dicoccoides is the source of this 163-nucleotide long non-coding RNA. RefSeq lists it as uncharacterized. The transcript is spliced from 3 exons. NCBI's taxonomy places the organism in Eukaryota, Viridiplantae, Streptophyta, Magnoliopsida, Poales, Poaceae. The record is from RefSeq and is a predicted model, not a curated record.
GGUCCCGUGCAGACAUGUUAGGGGAUUGCAAUUCUACUCUCUUUGCGGACUUUGAAACUGUUCUUAAGGAUGACACAGAAAUGAUGGAGGUUGAUGAUCAAUCCAUCCUAACUGAAGCCUGAAACAUGAUUGUAUGAUGUUGCUGCUGCUGCUUGGUUGCGAC